AUACGGGGCAGUUAUAGUCAUGUUUUCUUUCGAUAACAUGGCAUAACUUCCCUGUAACC
This 59-nucleotide microRNA precursor is filed under the name Branchiostoma lanceolatum (amphioxus). Its description in RNAcentral is "Bla-Mir-4872-P2_pre stem-loop". The record is from RNAcentral. Lineage: Eukaryota; Metazoa; Chordata; Leptocardii; Amphioxiformes; Branchiostomatidae.